Non-coding RNA from Microcebus murinus (gray mouse lemur), 1099 nucleotides. The record is from RefSeq and is a predicted model, not a curated record. NCBI's taxonomy places the organism in Eukaryota, Metazoa, Chordata, Mammalia, Primates, Cheirogaleidae.
GCAUUCAGCACGUGGCUCCCCUUGUCUCCAGGCAGAGCAGGGCCUGGCAGGGCUUGCUCCAGGACGCUCUGUGGCGCUCCUGAAGCCACCAGGGCCUUCGCAGGGUGUCCUCCAGCGCCCUCUAGUGGUCUGCAGAGGCAGUGGUGCUUCGAAGCUGCAACUUCAAGUUGGGGCACAGAGCUCAGCUACAGGCUUCCAACCUUGCAGUUAGUGGAUACUAUCCUGUCACUUCCUUAACUAAAAUAAAUGCUUUAAGACCCUGCAUAAGUGAUCUUUUUUCAAGGGUCUUCUAAGCAGGACUCUAAACUCACUGGGGUGGCCUGGAGAGGGGACUUAGUUUAUAAGAACUCCAGAAGAAGGCUGCUCCUGAGUUCACUUGUGUAAACCUCUGCACUUGCUCGGACAUGCGGAGACCCUGCUGGAGCCAUGUGUACAGCAGACACACUGCAGAUGUAUUUUUAUGAUAACCAAGAUCUAGUCAUUACUGAUCAAGGGGAUUUUCUGAAGUCUGAGCUUCACACACACAAACACAAUAUGCCCGGGGCUUGCAGGAAGCUGGGUUUUCCAGGACACUGCACAACACCCCCAAGGAGGAAGCUGUGGCUUUGCUGCUCCUGAGCUUGGCUCACGAACCAGGACCUUGUAAACACUGCCUUAAAUGGAAGCGCACAGGUCCUUGGCACAUCCUUCAGGAAUGUACGUUUGAGUGUGAGAGACAGGCAGCCAUGGACCAAGGAUUCAGCUUCUUUCUCAAUUCUGGCAGGACUGAGGGAACCAAGGGGCUGCAGAACAGAUGUGCUAAGAUGUGCUGCCUGUCCUCCUGCUACCUGAAGCCACCUGCAACCUCCUAUCCAUGGCUGAAGACCCUGAGAAUGCAGGGCAGGAGUGUCAGUUUUUCCAACAACUUCAUCCAACAUUUGGACAAGGAUUUGAGGCCUUCAAGGAAGCUGUCAAGAGGUUACUAAGGAUCUCUUAGUGGAACUUCUUGCUCAGGCUCUCUAGAACAGGCUCGCCCACAGGACUUCUGCCCACCCUCAUACCAGGCGCCCUGGAACGCAGGUGCGGGUGGUUCUGGGCACUCCCACCACCUCACGGGACC